Molecule: ribosomal RNA, 497 nt
Filed under: uncultured bacterium
Lineage: Bacteria
Description: partial 16S ribosomal RNA
Rfam family: Bacterial small subunit ribosomal RNA
Source: RNAcentral
GAUGAACGCUGGCGGCGUGCCUAAUACAUGCAAGUCGAGCGAACGGACGAGAAGCUUGCUUCUCUGAUGUUAGCGGCGGACGGGUGAGUAACACGUGGAUAACCUACCUAUAAGACUGGGAUAACUUCGGGAAACCGGAGCUAAUACCGGAUGAUAUUUUGAACCGCAUGGUUCAAAAGUGAAAGACGGUCUUGCUGUCACUUAUAGAUGGAUCCGCGCUGCAUUAGCUAAUUGGUAAGGUAACGGCUUACCAAGGCAACGAUGCAUAGCCGACCUGAGAGGGUGAUCGGCCACACUGGAACUGAGACACGGUCCAGACUCCUACGGGAGGCAGCAGUAGGGAAUCUUCCGCAAUGGGCGAAAGCCUGACGGAGCAACGCCGCGUGAGUGAUGAAGGUCUUCGGAUCGUAAAACUCUGUUAUUAGGUAAGAACAUAUGUGUAAGUAACUGUGCACAUCUUGACGGUACCUAAUCAGAAAGCCACGGCUAACUACGUG